Molecule: ribosomal RNA, 460 nt
Filed under: uncultured bacterium
Lineage: Bacteria
Description: partial 16S ribosomal RNA
Rfam family: Bacterial small subunit ribosomal RNA
Source: RNAcentral
CCUACGGGUGGCAGCAGUGAGGCAUAUUGGUCAAUGGGCGCGAGCCUGAACCAGCCAAGUAACGUGAAGGAUGACUGCCCUACGGGUUGUAAACUUCUUUUAUAAAGGAUUAAAGUGAGGCCCGUGUGCCUUUUUGUAUGUACUUUAUGAAUAAGGAUCGGCUAAAUACGUGCCCGCAGCCGCGGUAAUACGGAGGAUCCGAGCGUUAUCCGGAAUUAUUGGGUUUAAAGGGAGCGUAGAUGGGUUGUUAAGUCAGUCGUGAAAGUUUGCGGCUCAACCGUAAAAUUGCAAUUGAUACUGGCAGUCUUGAGUACAGUAGAGGUAGGCGGAAUUCGUGGUGUAGCGGUGAAAUGCUUAGAUAUCACGAAGAACUCCGAUUGCGAAGGCAGCUUACUAAACUGCCACUGACAUUGAUGCUCGAAAGUGUGGGUAUCAAACAGGAUUAGAUACCCGUGUAGUC